AUGGCUCUCCUUGUCCGUGCACCACCGCUUCUUCUCCACCUACAGCCUCCCCCCACCACCGCGCAAGCUUUCUUCGUCCGGCAACUCGCAACCACACCCCGCCGCCGUCCCCUCUCCGCCCGCGUGCGCGUGCGCGCCUCCAACUCCGACCCUCCGCAGCAGGUCAACCUCUCCGUCCUCCGCUUCACCCUCGGGAUCCCCGGGCUGGACGAGUCGUACCUCCCGCGGUGGAUAGGCCUCGGCUUCGGCGCCCUCGUCCUCCUCAACCACCUCCUCUCGCCGUCCCCAACCCCCGCGCAGCUCAGGUCGGAGGCUCUGGGGCUGUGCCUGGCCGCGUUCUCAGCGGCGCUGCCGUACCUCGGGCGCUUCCUAGAGGGUGCUGGUGCUUCCAGCCGUGUGCCGUUGCCUGAAGGAAGCAGGCAGGUGUUUGUGAUUCCUGAUGAUCUGUCAACGGCGCAGAAAGAGGAUAUGGCCUGGGCGACAUAUGUUCUGCUGCAGAACACAAACACCACAUCAGUGCUCAUAGCAAUUGACAAUGUGUUGUGCAUCCGAGGAUACUGGAAUCCUCCUGCAGAUAUUUCCAAAUAUGCAAUGAUUGAUUGGUUCAAGAGUCAGAUGGAACAAGCUGGACUUGACAAUUUGAGCAGUGCUUUGUACAUUCCUAAUUUUUCUGACACUCAGCUUGGGAAUAUUCUACCACAAGGAAUUCUUUCUGUGUUGGCACAACCAAUUUUGAGCAACCCUGAUCCAGCUAACGGUGAAUCAAAAGCUGAAGGUGUCGUCCUGUUGGCCUCCAAUGCAAAGUAUGCAUACAGUGAGAAAGAUAUGGUUUGGAUAAGCACAGUUGCAAAUAAAUUUCGACUUGCGUAA
Molecule: ribosomal RNA, 870 nt
Filed under: Triticum aestivum (bread wheat)
Lineage: Eukaryota; Viridiplantae; Streptophyta; Magnoliopsida; Poales; Poaceae
Description: partial small subunit ribosomal RNA
Source: RNAcentral